This 4020-nucleotide long non-coding RNA is filed under the name Sorghum bicolor (sorghum). RNAcentral describes it as "long non-coding RNA (SBIC_LNC018155)". Lineage: Eukaryota; Viridiplantae; Streptophyta; Magnoliopsida; Poales; Poaceae. The record is from RNAcentral.
CAAUAUAGUCAAUAGAUACGACAAAGAUCCAAAGCAAAAUUAUAACCACUGAUACUAAGCAUCAGAUAAAAGAUAUCAUAUCAUCAUAUACUUAGCACAAAUCAUGAAGUAUUUGCUCAUCGCAGCCAAUAUGGUUCUGUUUAGAUUGAUUACACGACCCUCAAUCACAUGUAUCAUGUACGACUACCAUAGCCAUUAUGGUUCUAUUAGGUCAUGCAUUACACUAUUACAGUUCACGGUUGGAUUCAACACUGUAGCCCGUAGUUUAGAACGCCGAUCCAAAUAUAUGAUGAUCAUCAAAAUAGAUAUAUAAUUCUAUAAACAAAUUAAAAGAUCGGUAAACUUCAAUUGCAAAUGAGGUUUCAAUACAUGUCGAUCAACACUCUGCUGCAACUGGUAGAGGCCAAAGCUCUGUGACCUUUUGCUGAUUAGUAAUCUUUGACUGCACUGUAAACAGGAGAGGUCAUGAGUAUUGUUGUUAAGAGGACCAAGAAAUUCAGAUACACAUGAUAGGUCAUCAAAUUUCAACUUUUCUGUCUCAGUGCAAGAUAACAUUCAAACAGUUGUGUUUAGCAUCAUUCUUAGGUGGUAUGACAUCCAUAUGAAGAUAAAAAAAAGUUCACACAAAAACAAGAAAAUCAAGAGGUAGUAUAAACUGGAGGUAGUAUUAAGUAUAGCAGCAGGAAUUAGAUGGUGGCAAAUAUGAAAGGGUAUGUACAAACAGCAACACAGCCACAAUCAACACCCCUCGUGCAUGUGGAACUUUGCUUCAUAAAUAUUGUGACCUCAUAAAUAUAGUUCAAAGCACCCCUCAUGCAUGUGGAACACAACCACAAUCUCUAGUUCAAAUCUAUGAUCGGUUCUAACUUUCUAUGCCAUUCUACCUCUUAAGAAACCUAUUUUUUUUCUCUCCUGGAAUCCUGGAACUUUGCUUCAUAAAUAUUGUGACCUCCUUAAUAUGUGUUCAAAUUGAUCGACUUACUGAAGACCUAGUAUUUUAAAUUAGAAUAAUCACAUGUAGAUGUAGUUGUCCAAACAUGAAUUGCAAGGCAUAUGCUACAUCUCUCCAUUUUGUGUCAGAUGUGAAAGUCACAAAAAGGUCAGAAGGGCCAAGAUUGCAUGUAUCCGUUUGGUGUUCUUCACUAAUUUUCUAUCUAAUCAAGAAGAAAAAACCUAGCAGGAAAAUGCAGUCAGCUGGAAAGUUCUUAUAGGUAAUGCCGCUUGGGGAGAGCGGGAAAAUUAGAUAAAUGUAUCCAUCAAUAUAUCUAUUUUACCAACUUACAUGACCACAACAAAAGACCAUAAAAUUAUUACAUAAUUACAUUUACUAUUCACAGCAUGACAAUGGCACAUGAAACUGCGCGUGCGACAUUCAUAGGUCCUAAAAAUGAGUGAAACAUGGGGAGGAAGAGGGAGAUGUGGGAUUUCAGAAUAGCUAAAAGUGGAACUAAAAUCAUCAUGGAAAAUAGCGUCCGGUCAAUAUUAAUAGAUUGUAAAUACAAAUUUAAUAGUAAUGAGGGCACACAUGAACUGUAAUCAGUGAAAAAGAAAGUAAAAUACGCCUAUGAGAAAGAUGAGGCUCAAAUUCCUACUCCAGUUGUAUCCUUAAAAGUUAAAUAUACCUACUUCAAUUAAGUCUAGCGUAUUCUCUAACCUACCUACUCAAUAACUUAAGGUAUGCAGCUAACUCGAACUUCCAGAUCCAGUCGAUGCAACUAUCUGUAAAAUUGGUUUGCAUACUAUCUAUGACAAAUAGUCAUAACAAUGAUGAAGAUAAGCAGACAGUUUUUACAACAACUUUGAACUGUAAAGAAUGUUUUCCCUCUAAUAAUAAUCUGACCAAAACAUAAUUGAAAGAGAGUUCUUGCAGCUGGUUAUUUCUUAGGAUUUCACAAUACAGGACACAUCUUUUUGUAGCUCUCAUCAAGGAAACCAGUGUGAAAUUGGAUCUAUGAAAAAUAUCUGAAAGACCUCCAUACUCUGCUCAAACAAAAUGCAAUGAAUAUCAAUAUCGAAUGUGUAUCUACACAUGGUAGGCCUCCAUAUUCUCUUUCAUACAAAUAACUCCCAAUGCAAAUUUCCUAUGAAGCAUUCUAUCAAACAAAUGGCGAGCACCAGGCUUGACAAAGAAAUUUAUCGAUAUUGGCAGAGUAAUAAUUUAGCUAACCGGUGGGUCAUAGGAGGAUUAUUCAACAGAUAAAAUCAUGGAAGGUUGUGAACUUACAGAUAAGUGAAAAACAGUCAUGUUGCUGACACGGGAGUUGAGGUUGAUGUCAUCAAUGGUGUCUCUGUCAGCAUGCUCAAGUGCAUUGCUGCAUGUCACCAAACAGAAAUUCAAAAUGCCAAAAGCAAAGGUAUUAUACAAAUAAUGCAGUCCACGCAUGUACAAGAACAUGACGACAGGGCUCAUAAUCAAGGUCGCUCUCAUAUUAGAAAAAAAAAUCCAAAAUUGGAGUAAAAUGGUGACCGUGGGUGUUGUUUCAUUCGAUAUAUAUCAAUUUCCAAGAAACCAAAAGUUAUUUGCAAUGGGAUCAUUUAAAAAAUCCAUCUAUUAGAUUGUACUUAUUUAAGCCAUUAUGGUAUGGUAUACAAGUAAACAUUGUCAAGAGUACAAAAUUUAAUGCAUGACAUGACAUAGAGCUACAAACUUAGUGCUGACAAGCAGAUAACUUCCACAAGGCAAAUCCAGUGGUGAGCUAGGGCAUGCUAAAACACAGCAUAUUUUCCACCAUGAGAACAGGUUUCUAGUUAUGUCAAGAAGCUUGAGACAUGAAACAUGCAAAACAUCAUUGUGCAAAGUAUGUUGUGUGUUAGCAUACAUCUCAUCUGCUCCAACCAUUAGCCUCCAUUAUUUUAGUAUAAUAACUCAGAGUUGGGGCAUACUAACAAGCAGCAUGCUUUCCAGAAGUAUGAUAUGUGUUAGCAUACAUCUCACCAUGAGAAGAGAUUUCUAGUUAUGCCUAGGGGUAUUAAUUGUGAAUACUAAAAAAUGCCACUGCUUUCCACAAGUAAGAACUGCUCCAUUUCCUUCAAUACUAUAUGGCUUAUACGUAAUGAACAUGGCGAUCAUAAGAUAAUAUUCACUUAUAACCAAACUCUUUAGUUGAUCUGGCGAUACGAUUGACCUAACUCCUUUGUAUGUAAUAGUUGCACUAAUCAACUCAUUAGAGCUAUCUGGCUCAAAAAAACUCAUUAGAGCUAUCAAGCCUCUAUUGAACUUUGUCACAUACAUCUCAUCUGAAUGAACUCUUAUUAAAAAAUCAAAGUAUUACGUCACAAAAAUAAAUUAUGAGCUUCAUAAAAAAAUUAUGAAGGCAAAUUCAAGGAGGUGUUAGAACAGUGAACACUGCACUAAUCUUGUUCCUCAUUGUGAAAUCCUAGAUGAGGUAGAGGCGGAACUGGAAUCAUAAAAUCCAAUCUAUGAAGUAGGAUGAGAGAAGUCCAAAAUUCAUAGCGAACGAUUUCCUCACAGUGCAAAAACCUGCAACUCACCAGGCAAAAGUUGAGAUCUAGCUUGUCGAUGUGCUCCUCGCCGCUAGAUCUCUCAGAGUUUGCCGAAGAUGAACACCACCCCCUCAAUUGCACGACACAUCCACGACACCUAAAUCGACAUAUGAAGAAAGGCAAGCCACCACUUGGGGCCGCCGGAAUCCUAGUGAGCUAAUGGCACCUCGAAGCGCCAUGGAUCCAGGGAGGUUAAUCCUCCCUACGCGCUCGAAGUCGCCGCCUCCAUCACAGCUACCUCCCUCGCUCCCAGCAGCAGAGAGAGACAGGAUAGAAAUAGAGAGAAGGGGGAAAGAAGAUAGGAGGGAGAGAGCGCCGGACGGAAGAUGAGGUCGAGAUCGAAGGAGAAGUACCCCACUCGCAGGAGCGCGUCCGCCGGGGCCGCGCUCGCCCGGCGAACCAUGCCGGACCGAGCCGCGCCUCGUGGUUUGUGGAGGAGGGGGAGGAGAACGACGACAAGCCAAGAUGCGCGCGUGGGCGGCAUGGAAAGAGGAAUGAGGGGAUUAGGGUUCGACC